AGAUUGAACGCUGGCGGCAGGCCUAACACAUGCAAGUCGAGCGGUAGAGAGGUGCUUGCACCUCUUGAGAGCGGCGGACGGGUGAGUAAUGCCUAGGAAUCUGCCUAGUGGUGGGGGAUAACGUUCGGAAACGGACGCUAAUACCGCAUACGUCCUACGGGAGAAAGCGGGGGACCUUCGGGCCUCGCGCCAUUAGAUGAGCCUAGGUCGGAUUAGCUAGUUGGUGAGGUAAUGGCUCACCAAGGCGACGAUCCGUAACUGGUCUGAGAGGAUGAUCAGUCACACUGGAACUGAGACACGGUCCAGACUCCUACGGGAGGCAGCAGUGGGGAAUAUUGGACAAUGGGCGAAAGCCUGAUCCAGCCAUGCCGCGUGUGUGAAGAAGGUCUUCGGAUUGUAAAGCACUUAAGUUGGAGAAGGUUGUAACUUAAUACGUUGCAACUUUGACGUUACGACAGAAUAAGCACGGCUAACUCGCGCAGCAGCCGACG
This 491-nucleotide ribosomal RNA is filed under the name uncultured soil bacterium. Its description in RNAcentral is "bacterial SSU rRNA". It matches the Rfam family "Bacterial small subunit ribosomal RNA", at positions 26 to 517 of the family's 1533-position model. The record is from RNAcentral.